This 141-nucleotide small nuclear RNA is filed under the name Prolemur simus (greater bamboo lemur). RNAcentral describes it as "U4 spliceosomal RNA (ENSPSMG00000003548.1)". It matches the Rfam family "U4 spliceosomal RNA". From Rfam's summary of the family: U4 small nuclear RNA (U4 snRNA) is a component of the major U2-dependent spliceosome. The structure of U4 snRNA from yeast and human has been reported. The record is from Rfam by way of RNAcentral. Lineage: Eukaryota; Metazoa; Chordata; Mammalia; Primates; Lemuridae.
AGCUUUGUGCAGUGGCAGUAUUGUAGCCAAUGAGGUUUAUCUGAGGUGUGAUUAUUGCUAAUUGAAAACUUUUCCUGAUACCCUGCCAUGAUGACUUGAAAUAUAGUUGGCAUUGGCAAUUUUUGACAGUCUUUACGGAGA